CCUACGGGUUGCAGCAGUGGGGAAUAUUGGACAAUGGGGGCAACCCUGAUCCAGCCAUGCCGCGUGUGUGAAGAAGGCCCUCGGGUUGUAAAGCACUUUCAGUGAGGAAGAACGCCUGGUGGUUAAUACCCAUCAGGAAAGACAUCACUCACAGAAGAAGCACCGGCUAACUCCGUGCCAGCAGCCGCGGUAAUACGGAGGGUGCGAGCGUUAAUCGGAAUUACUGGGCGUAAAGCGCGCGUAGGUGGCUUGAUAAGCCGGUUGUGAAAGCCCCGGGCUCAACCUGGGAACGGCAUCCGGAACUGUCAAGCUAGAGUGCAGGAGAGGAAGGUAGAAUUCCCGGUGUAGCGGUGAAAUGCGUAGAGAUCGGGAGGAAUACCAGUGGCGAAGGCGGCCUUCUGGACUGACACUGACACUGAGGUGCGAAAGCGUGGGUAGCAAACAGGAUUAGAUACCCCGGUAGUC
This 465-nucleotide ribosomal RNA is filed under the name Vreelandella stevensii. RNAcentral describes it as "partial 16S ribosomal RNA". It matches the Rfam family "Bacterial small subunit ribosomal RNA", at positions 338 to 795 of the family's 1533-position model. Lineage: Bacteria; Pseudomonadati; Pseudomonadota; Gammaproteobacteria; Oceanospirillales; Halomonadaceae. The record is from RNAcentral.